Molecule: unclassified non-coding RNA, 2403 nt
Filed under: Hevea brasiliensis (rubber tree)
Lineage: Eukaryota; Viridiplantae; Streptophyta; Magnoliopsida; Malpighiales; Euphorbiaceae
Source: RNAcentral
ACCAAAUCAAAUUUAUGGUCGCUAAGAUUUUCUUUUCAAAAUCUCUAAAAAUCUUCCAAACCCUUCCUCUUCUCCCAAAAAAACUAAAAAUUAUAAAGUCCUUAAUUGAAAAACAAACUUUAAUUUACUCUACCUCUUAAUCUUCCUAAACGAAGACACAUGAGAAUGAGGUUUACAAGCUAAAAUAAUACCCAAUUGAACAGUUAGCCCUAAUUCUUUGCUAAGAUCCUAAGUCCAAGGUGAGCACCUCAUGCAAAUAGUUCUGUCAACUUCUCCUGAAAGGAUUUAAGAAUCUUGUUAAAGGUGUUAUUUAAAGAAUUUAUACGAUGUCCAUGGUGAAUAUGUUAAGUGGAGAAUAAAGGGCUUUGUUUAUCCACUCAAUUUGCUGCAAUUUCAUUACAGAUUCGAUUCCAACACUAUGUAUUUCAUGAAAAGGAUUGUAUUUUGGUGGUCUCAAUGCAUCCUUUAGUUCAUCAAUGGCCUUCAAGUAUGAUAUGAAGCAUUAUUUCUGGUGAGUGAAGAACCCAAUUUGCUAGUCAAUAGUUCCAUAAGCUGGAAUAUUAGUUUGAUUACUCGGCUACCCUGAAUUUUGAAAAGAAUUGACGAGAUAGAUGACGAGUAUAUUUUAAUAGCGUCAUUUUCCAACGGCCCUACGAUUAUAAUCCGAUUCAGGACUAUUACAGCUAAAUUUAAAUUUGACCCGCUUCAAUCUGAUUCUGAGCCAAACUCAAACUAAGUUUAUAUGUUCUUGAUACCCCAUCCAACGUUCACGUAAAAGAUGCCAUAGGCUACUAAUACACCUUGAGCGUAUAACCAAACUUGACAAGUGCUUACCAACUCCAUUUGGAGGAAAAACCCGAUGCCGUCACUGAUAUUACUUCCUGUUGUUUAUGACAACCACUAUUAUCAAAGUGGUUGGAUCAAUGCUUACACCAAAUCUAUUUUCCCCUUCUCCAAAGGCCUCUUUAUGAACUUGUAACAUACAAAGGUAAGUAAAUCUCGCUCCAUCUCUGUAAUUUCCGUGCUGUACUCCGGCUCAAAGUCAAUACUCGAGAGAUAUUGUUUGGCUUUGCAGAUAAUAAAUGUGUCCAACCGUGGCGCUGGCACCAUAUCAUCCUCUUCGCUUGUUAUGGAUUGCUUUAGUAUGGACUGAUAAUUAUCAGGCAAUUUUGACAGAACAGUCUCAUCGAGAUGAUUUCCCAGAUCAUCAGUGCACCUUCGUGCAAACAUCUGCUCCUGCUUUGAAAGCCGGUUUAGAUACUCAUCAGUUUUUAAAAUGUGGAACAAGUACUCCUCAAUCUGCAAUGAAACUCGCUUGAUAAAUAAAUAAUUAAACAAAAUUUAACUGGCAGCUGGGAUAUUUUGUGGCAGAUUCAACUUUCGCGGUCCAAACAAACCCUAAUAGAACAUUAGCCACCUUCUGGAGGCGAACCCGGAGAUAGGAUCUCAACAGAAACUGAGUCCUAUCGAGGUCCAUCUGGUAAAGUGACACAGUAAGGGGAUCUAUACUGUCCGCUUCAAACAUCUCCACGUUUUGCUCCUGUAAAGAUGCACCAAAUUGGUAUGAAAAUUUAGCAUCAAUAGAAUACUUGUGAGGUAUUCUCACAACUCCAACUUGCAUAUAAAAUUCCAAAUUUUUCUAAAUCAUCACCAAGAAUAUGCAUAUUAAAUAGAUGCAUAUACAAACUUCACACUCCAAUUUCCAAUGCAAAAAACAGAAUAGCCAAUUUCACACUCCAACUAUCAUCUCCAUUAACAAAUAACGCUAGCAAAAUUCAAUCCUGAACAGGAGGAAAAAAAUAAAAUCUAGCAUAUUAGCAAGCUUCAUACAAAAGCUAAAUCAACAACUUAUUUACAGUUCAAUUGUUCGAAAAAUAACAAAGCGAUGAAAUUGUACCGAAUUAGAUUCAUCUUCUGGUUAAAUUAACAAAAUUUAGGGUUUUGAAACAAGCAAUACCGCCAAUUCGAUCUGCUCUUUGAUUCUCUGAACCAAAGAAGAUUCGUACUGAAGAAUCUCCGGAGCAGCCUUCUCAUUACGCCAAGCCCUCUUCAAGAGCUCGACGUCGGUCGUCGAAAUCAAGGUCUCGUAAUCAUCCAUGAUCGCGCUUGUUGACUCCUCUCCAGAUCCAGUAGCCAUCUGAUCUGAUUACUCCUCUGAAACAGUGUGAAUAAGAUUGACUGAUUUCUCCUUUUCUACGACUCCGCCAGGGGCGCUGAAAAGAGAGGGAAAACCGUAAAAUUAUAAAAAGAAGUGGCGCCAAAAGCAGCUGGAGUAGGGUAUGGUGAACGAGACAGAUCACGAGUUUGUGCGUGAAUCUAACACCCUUGGAUAGCCAUACAAAUGGACGGCCGAGAUGGGAUGGGGUUCGAUUCACACACAAACUAGAGAUAUGUACGUCCCAU